UACGUAGGGUGCAAGCGUUAAUCGGAAUUACUGGGCGUAAAGCGCACGUAGGCGGCUUUGUAAGUUAGAGGUGAAAGCCCGGGGCUCAACUCCGGAAUUGCCUUUAAGACUGCAUCGCUAGAAUUGUGGAGAGGUAAGUGGAAUUCCGAGUGUAGAGGUGAAAUUCGUAGAUAUUCGCAAGAACACCAGUGGCGAAGGCGGCCAACUGGACCAUUACUGACGCUGAGGUGCGAAAGCGUGGGGAGCAAACAGG
RNAcentral lists this ribosomal RNA (253 nucleotides) under uncultured bacterium. RNAcentral describes it as "partial 16S ribosomal RNA". It matches the Rfam family "Bacterial small subunit ribosomal RNA", at positions 524 to 776 of the family's 1533-position model. The record is from RNAcentral.